GCAGAGCUGUGAGGUCAAAGGGCAACAAACACAAGUCAGGGGGCACAGAGACAGUCAGAGACAUCACAUGCAUAAGAAUAAUGCUAUAAAUGUUAUUAUAACAGUAUUAUAAUAGCUAUAAAUCAUAGGUAGUAUCAUAUUUUGAUGGCAGCGUAGUGAGAAUCAGUAUGACGUGAAAGGUUAUGUUACUACGACACAUAAGUUGUUAUAACAAUAAACUAUUUAUGUUAUAAUAUGAAACGUUUUCAUGUGAUAACUUAUCGUUACACAUUAUAACAAGACAGAAUGUAUAUUAGUGUAACAAGAAAAGGUAAAACAUGUUAUAACUUAAGUUUGUUUGUCAGAAUCACGUGAAAAUAUUUUGCUAUAACAUAAAAAAAUGCUUUUUUAAUGUGAUACUAUUUAGUUCUUCUUGGCAGCAAUGGGCUUCCAUACAGUUUAUCAUAAUCACCAGGUGGUGGAGGAAGUUUAACUGAAGUACAAGGACGAAUACAACACUGCGAUAUUCCCGAUAUUACUGCUGCAUCAAUGUGCAUGUUGCAUUUUUAUUAAAGGUAGCUGUUGUGUCAAUAAUUGUCAAGAGAAAGACGGAAACAAAUGAAAGAAAUAUGGUGGGAAAAAAGAAAGAUGGGGUGAAUGGGCUUUGCCGAGAUUUGUCCGAUAUUAUUGGCAAUAAUCAGGACAGAAUCAUCAGAAAACUGAAUAAAUGAGAGCUGAGGACAAACAGAUGAACAUGAGGUGGUUUGUGUUUUAUUGUCUCGUGACUGAUGACAGAAAGAAAAACAUACAGUGACACGCCAACACUGAUACAUGGACAUGAACAUACAGUCUAUGAGUGAAGAUGGACACACAGAAACAGCUUACAUGUACAGAGAUGGUAACAGAUGCUGUGAUACAGAUGAAGAUGAGUUGACCUUCAAAAUAAAAUCUCAUAUUAGAUCACUAUUUAUACUUCUAUUACCCCAUGAGCACAUUUAGCCUAAAGGCCUUAAUAAAUACACCUAAAUUACGACUGCAUUUUAAGUAUUGCACGCUCCCAUUUGCCAAUAAACUCACAUGUUCCUUUACUUUCAACAUGACAGCAGUUUGCAGGUGAAUGAUUCUUAGUGCAACAGUAGUGUGGGUAUAUACGGUGUGUCUGUGGAUGUUUUUAACAUCAUUAAACCUGCAACUGUUCAGUUUUAGGACACAGUAUUAACAUAUAAUAACUCUUUUUAACACAUUUAGCAAAAGAGCAACACUAACUUGUCAAGUUUCUGAACGUACGACAAAUAUAAAUCCAAUAUUGACUCUGCUUUUAGCUCCAUUUUUGGUCCCCACCGACUUCUGAGAGAAAUAUCUGGUUCUUUUGGUGCUAAAAUGUGCCAUGAUGUUCAACAGCUAGUUGAUUUUUGGUGGUGAGGGGUGAGAGUGAACCAAACUAUUAAAACUUCAGGCU
Long non-coding RNA from Larimichthys crocea (large yellow croaker), 1438 nucleotides. RefSeq lists it as uncharacterized. NCBI's taxonomy places the organism in Eukaryota, Metazoa, Chordata, Actinopteri, Sciaenidae. The transcript is spliced from 2 exons. The record is from RefSeq and is a predicted model, not a curated record.